RNAcentral lists this ribosomal RNA (465 nucleotides) under Vreelandella stevensii. Its description in RNAcentral is "partial 16S ribosomal RNA". It matches the Rfam family "Bacterial small subunit ribosomal RNA", at positions 338 to 795 of the family's 1533-position model. The record is from RNAcentral. Lineage: Bacteria; Pseudomonadati; Pseudomonadota; Gammaproteobacteria; Oceanospirillales; Halomonadaceae.
CCUACGGGGGACAGCAGUGGGGAAUAUUGGACAAUGGGCGAAAGCCUGAUCCAGCCAUGCCGCGUGUGUGAAGAAGGCCUUCGGGUUGUAAAGCACUUUCAGUGGGGAAGAAAGCCUUGGGGCUAAUACCCUCGAGGAAGGACAUCACCCACAGAAGAAGCACCGGCUAACUCCGUGCCAGCAGCCGCGGUAAUACGGAGGGUGCGAGCGUUAAUCGGAAUUACUGGGCGUAAAGCGCGCGUAGGCGGUCUGAUAAGCCGGUUGUGAAAGCCCCGGGCUCAACCUGGGAACGGCAUCCGGAACUGUCAGGCUAGAGUGCAGGAGAGGAAGGUAGAAUUCCCGGUGUAGCGGUGAAAUGCGUAGAGAUCGGGAGGAAUACCAGUGGCGAAGGCGGCCUUCUGGACUGACACUGACGCUGAGGUGCGAAAGCGUGGGUAGCAAACAGGAUUAGAUACCCUGGUAGUC